Molecule: long non-coding RNA, 1043 nt
Filed under: Anser cygnoides (Swan goose)
Lineage: Eukaryota; Metazoa; Chordata; Aves; Anseriformes; Anatidae
Description: lncRNA (ENSACDG00005007945.1)
Source: RNAcentral
AGCAAAGACAAUGAUCUUUGAUUUUAUUUUUGUCAUUUCUGAUAGUGGUAUUGUCUCAUAUCCAUUCAGUGAAAACAAAAUGGAUAGUCAACAAGAAAAUAAGAUAACUGGAGCAGUAGUAGUAAAUUUAGUUAUGGUCAAUGUUUACAUUUACUAAUAAAUUUAUACAAAUGUGCUUUAUCAGAAUUUUUUAAAAAACAGACUUACACAAUAAGCUCUCAGAUAAAUGAUUUUUACUCGCAACAUGAGUACAUGGCGAAAAAGGACAAUUAGGGUCUUCUCAGCUCUAAAUUCCAUGCAUGACAUUGAAGCCUGAACUACAGCUAAGAAGGAGGUUCUGACACUAUGAAUAUGGGGGAGACAUUCUGUCAAGUGCUUUAACUUCUGUGUUGCUCUUUUCUUAAUUUAAACAAUUCCUUCAGUUUGAUGAAAAAAGAAAAAAAAAAGUAGCAAAUUGUCAGUACCUUGAGCACACCAACAGACAUUAAUUGCUCUAAGCAGCCUGCCUCAUCAGGGACCUCCACACAUGCUUUCUGCUAGCUGUGACAGGAAGUCUAUGGAAGACCAGGCCUGGUGUUUCAGUCUCUGAAAUACAUGGGAGACAGUGAUGCUGACAACGUAACAUUUCAGAAAGAUGCAACAAGGUCUUCAGAGGAAAAGACUGCCUUCAGUUUCAUUGACGAAGCAGUGAAGAUCUUUCAGAACAGUUGUCCAUUCCAAAAAGCCAACAUCUCUUUUGCCUGUCCUGCUCCUGCUGCUAAAUUUUCAGUGCCACACAUACUCUCACUACAUAUUUAGACUAGCUGUGUUUCUUAAAGUACCUGCACUCUGUCCCUGCCAAAAUAUUACAUUAAUUCUUAUGGGAAAAAUUACUUUGCUACCAAGGAAUUGCUAACCAUCUCACUUUUAACAGACUCCAUUCUUCAUAGGGUGUGGCUGUUUAGCUAUGUAGAGUUUCUUAUAAAAAAUUCUGCAUAAAGGGGAGGGAUGUUUCUAACAACUUCCAUUGCCUUUAAAAUAAAUAAAUGUAUUUGUGUAUCCCA